This 375-nucleotide ribosomal RNA is filed under the name uncultured eukaryote. RNAcentral describes it as "partial 18S ribosomal RNA". It matches the Rfam family "Eukaryotic small subunit ribosomal RNA", at positions 592 to 976 of the family's 1831-position model. The record is from RNAcentral.
CAAUAGCGUAUAUUUAAGUUGUUGCAGUUAAAAAGCUCGUAGUUGGAUUUCGGUUAAGAGCGACCGGUCCGCCGUUUGGUGUGCACUGGUUGGUUUUAACUUCCUGUAGAGGACGUGCUCUGGGUUUAACGACCUGGACUCGGAGUCUACGUGGUUACUUUGAAAAAAUUAGAGUGUUCAAAGCGGGCUUACGCUUGAAUAUUUCAGCAUGGAAUAACACUAUAGGACUCCUGUCCUAUUUCGUUGGUUUCGGGACGGGAGUAAUGAUUAAGAGGAACAGUUGGGGGCAUUCGUAUUUCAUUGUCAGAGGUGAAAUUCUUGGAUUUAUGAAAGACGAACUUCUGCGAAAGCAUUUGCCAAGGAUGUUUUCAUUAA